AAGAUGCUGAAUUCAAAGCAUUUUGAAAAUGACACACUUCCUGCUGCCAGUUGGUGGCGCUGUAACUUUGACUCCUAAUAGUCACAUAUAUGCGAUCGGCAUCAUACAUCGAACAAACCAAUGAAGUUUGAUCAAACUCAGGUAGUGUAUGUUGAUGUUAUUAGACAUUUCCUGUUUCUCAUUUCUCGCCAUAAUUUCAACGCCUCGCCACGGACAAACCGUUUGAGAUAUCAAAAAUAUCUUCGCAAUUUAGCA
This is a long non-coding RNA of Cyprinus carpio carpio, 255 nucleotides long. NCBI's taxonomy places the organism in Eukaryota, Metazoa, Chordata, Actinopteri, Cypriniformes, Cyprinidae. The record is from Ensembl.